Molecule: ribosomal RNA, 373 nt
Filed under: Thelephoroid sp. E82gn
Lineage: Eukaryota; Fungi; Basidiomycota; Agaricomycetes; Thelephorales; Thelephoraceae
Description: LSU rRNA
Rfam family: Bacterial large subunit ribosomal RNA
Source: RNAcentral
AUUAUCCUCAUAAGUUUGACAAUAAGAGGAACCACUUAUGUAAAAUAAAACAUAUGGUGGUGUCACAAAAUCGGAGGCCACGACUGUUUACUAAAAACACAAUUCAGAGCAAUGAUGAAAAUCAUAGUAUUCUGGAUGAAAUUUGCCCGAUGCCAUUAACAUAAAAGAGGUAAUGGGAAACUGUUACUAAUUGAAAGUCUGGUUAAUAGCGGUCUUAACUAUGAGGAUCCUAAGGUAGCAAAAUCAGUUGGCCAUUAAAUGUGGUCUGGUAUCAAUAGUGUAACGAUGGUCUCACUGUCUCUACAACUUGCUCAGUGAAAUUGAAUUAUCCGUGCAGAUGCGGAUUGCCUCCAGGUGGACGGGAAGACCCUAU